GAUGAACGCUGGCGGCGUGCUUAACACAUGCAAGUCGAACGAGAAGUGGAGACGGACACCUUCGGGCGGAAGACUUUAUUUCGAGUGGCGGACGGGUGAGUAACGCGUGGGUAACCUGCCUCAUACAGGGGGAUAACAGUUGGAAACGACUGUUAAUACCGCAUAAGACCACAGCACCGCAUGGUGCGGGGGUAAAAACUCCGGUGGUAUGAGAUGGACCCGCGUUCGAUUAGCCAGUUGGCGGGGUAACGGCCCACCAAAGCGACGAUCGAUAGCCGAUCUGAGAGGAUGACCGGCCACAUUGGGACUGAGACACGGCCCAAACUCCUACGGGAGGCAGCAGUGGGGAAUAUUGCACAAUGGGGGAAACCCUGAUGCAGCGACGCCGCGUGAGUGAAGAAGUAUUGCGGUAUGUAAAGCUCUAUCAGCAGGGAAGAAAAUGACGGUACCUGAGUAAGAAGCCCCGGCUAACUACGUGC
RNAcentral lists this ribosomal RNA (479 nucleotides) under uncultured bacterium. RNAcentral describes it as "partial 16S ribosomal RNA". It matches the Rfam family "Bacterial small subunit ribosomal RNA", at positions 28 to 508 of the family's 1533-position model. The record is from RNAcentral.